This 1257-nucleotide ribosomal RNA is filed under the name Triticum aestivum (bread wheat). RNAcentral describes it as "partial small subunit ribosomal RNA". The record is from RNAcentral. Lineage: Eukaryota; Viridiplantae; Streptophyta; Magnoliopsida; Poales; Poaceae.
AUGCCGCAGAAGUUGCGCGUCGCCGCAUCCAGCGAUGGCGUGCUGCCUGAAGACAUGCUGCUUCAAAUCCUUGUGCGCCUCCCGGCAAAGAUGAUAUGCCUCUUCCGAGCGGUCUGCCGAUCCUGGAGGUUCCUCCUCUCAGAUCCGCUCUUUGUUGCAGCGCACAAGUCCCACCACUCUGGGCCACUAAUCGCCACAUGUAGUAGAUUGUAUGGAAGAGGCACCAUUGACAUUCUGGACUUGUCUGGCUCUGUUGUUAAACGGAUAGCCACCAGCAUGGCUGCUCCCAGGUUGGUGCGCACAUGCCGCUUGGAUCUUAUUUGUGUCACUGGAAGUAACCACUUUGCGACCUGCCAUGUGAUCAACCCUGCCACAGGGGAUACGUUUGCAUUGCCCAUUCACCGUGCAAAGGAGCAUGCACAUGUGGAACAUUUCUUCCCCGUAUCAUUUGACUUUGGACAGGUUGGCUCCACGGGAGAGUACAAGGCUAUACGCUGUGUCAGCUUCGAUAAUUCCAAUAGUCAGUCCGACCUGUUGCUCUGUGAGGUCAUCACCCUUGAUGAUGGCCGCCAUGCAAGAUGGAGGGGCAAACAGGGCCCUCCGGCCCCUAUCGCACGUAGGCGUGACAAAAGUGUUGUUGUAAAUGGAGUUGCCCAUUUCUUGUUGGAAUUUCGAUGUCCCACAUUUUCUGGGGACCAUGUCGAACCGGGUAGCAUGGCUUUGUUCAACCUUGAGACAGAGGAGUGGAUGGGGAUUCUCAAAGGUCCAAUGCCAGUGCGCAGCUUUGUUGAGGACAGCAAUGGCAGGUCCAGUUACUUUAGUCUAGACAUGGAGCUAUCACUGGUAUGUUUGGAUGGCUUCUUAGUUAUGGCACACGAUCCUGAAUAUGGCCCUUGGGACUUAUGGUUUUUGAUGGAUAUUGAGAAAUGUCUCUGGAAUAAAAGGUACAGCAUAGAUCCCCAACGUGAAAAUCUCUUUGCUCAACCAGUAGACAUUCUAAAUGAUGGGAGGAUAGUCAUCUCUGCAUCAGGAUUGCUAAGAUUCUAUAACCCAGUUACCAAGACUUACAUUGAUUUUGGGAUGGGGAAUUCCACAUCUGUUGGUACUUACACUGGAAGUCUAUUGUCUUCAGAGAGCACUUUCACUUCUGAGGCUGAACGAUGCACUACCUGCGGCUGCUAUUUCACCCUCGAAGCUGAUAAAUGUUCUGACACCUGUGAAGAUUGUAUGUUGCGUGCAUAUGCAUGGGCAUGUUGA